This 249-nucleotide unclassified non-coding RNA is filed under the name Hevea brasiliensis (rubber tree). The record is from RNAcentral. Lineage: Eukaryota; Viridiplantae; Streptophyta; Magnoliopsida; Malpighiales; Euphorbiaceae.
AUAUAUAAUUUGAUUUUUAUAAUUCAAUUCAGUUCGGUUCGAUUCGAUUUAAACCGAAUGCUCACCCCUAUAAUCAACAAUAAGUAAGCUUACGGUUAGAGGGAGCUCAACAAUGUAAAUAUCAAAAUGAUACACACUAUUCAAGGCUUCGAUGAUGCAAUGUUCAAUGCUUUAAUUAUGGGUGGAAAAGGACAUUACGCAUGGGAUUGUUGGCUCAAUAAGAAGUUGUAACACCCCUAAUUUUUAAAU